This 3841-nucleotide long non-coding RNA is filed under the name Homo sapiens (human). RNAcentral describes it as "HSALNT0345082". The record is from RNAcentral. Lineage: Eukaryota; Metazoa; Chordata; Mammalia; Primates; Hominidae.
AACCUCUUCCUUCUUUAAUCCGGUGUCCGAGGAGUUUUGUCUGCGACUCGUCCUGCUACAUUUCUUGGUUACAAAAACCUCUUCCUUCUUUAAUCCGGUGUCUGAGGAGUUUUGUUUGCGACUCGUCCUGCUACAUUUCUUGGUUCCGUGACCGGGAAGCGAGGUGAUUGAAGGACGGUCGAGGCAGCCCCUUAGGCUGCUUAGGCCUGCCCUGUGGAGCGUCCCUGCAAGGGACUCUGGCCAGCUUGAGCGACGGGCAUCCUGAGAGCGCUCCCGGGUAGGCAAUUGCCCUGGUGGAACACCUCGUCAGAGCAGUGUGUGGCAGGCCCCCGCGGAGGAUCAACGUGGUGGCUGAACACCGGGAAGGAACUGGCACUAGAAGUCUGGACGUCUGAAACUUGUAGGCUGCCUGCUAAGAAAGAGUAGACAGACCCAAUGUCCUCCGAUCAGUCUGGACUCAGUUCAUCCUUCCCCUGGUACAGAAGAGCUGCGUCAGUCAUUCUCUCUGUGAUCUACUGAUAAGAGUCCUGGACGGGGAAUUCCAAGGCCAUGGGUCUAUUCCCAGCCUUGCCACUAUGAAUGUGACCUCCAGCAGUUAGAUCCCCUGCCUGCAGCACGUGCUGAUCUCCAAGGGUGAGGCUGGAUGAAGCCAGGGGCUAUGGAAAGGGAGACUGUUUCAGAGGACUUGACACCAUCUUCAGUAAUUUCUCUGGUUCUUGGCAGCUCCAUUUGGCUGCGUCCCUACCCUGCAUAACCCUCCCAGCUAGUCUACUCCAGGGCAGCAUCCAGCUGGUGACCUGAGAGGGCAGUGGCGCACCAGUCUCCAUGAAGGUUGAGCUCCGAUGGCCAACAGCCAUUUCCACCUUGUGGUCUACAACUCUUCAUCCCGACUGCAUGGAGGUUGGUCUCUCUCUUCAGCUGGAUUUAGGCCACCAUCUGAGCCCCCGGGGUACGUUUUGUCUGACCCUGGCGCCAUUCGAACGGUUCUUCUACAGCAUCAGUUCUCUUUCCUGCCACCAUGUGAAGAAGGACAUGUUUGCUUCCCCUUCUGCCAUGAAUGGACAGGGUCCUGCUGUGUUGCCCAGGCUGGCCUUGAACUCCUGGCUUCAAACAGUCUUCCCACUUGGGCUCCCAAAGUGCUGGGAUUAAAGGGGCGAGUUACAGCACCAGGACCUGAAAUGUGACACCCCUGCUCCCCAUUCACCCUCCGCUAUCAGUAAAAGCUUCCUCAGACCUCACCAGAAGCUGGACAGAUAGAUGCUGGUGCCAAGCUUGUACAGACUGCAGAACCAUGGGCCAAAUAAACCUCUUUUCUUUAUAAAUUGCUCAGCCUCAGGGGUCCCUUUAUAGCAAUGCGAGAAUAGACUAACACAGCAACCCAGAAGUUUGUGGAGUGAAAUCUAAAGCAGUGCUUUUAAAAGUGAGAUCCUAGGACCAGCACCACCUGUACCACAUGCAUCACCUGGGAACCUGUUAGAAAAGCAAAGCCUCAGGCUCCAUCCCAGACCACCUCAGGCAGAAGCUCUGGGGGUGGGGUCCAGGAAUCUGAGAUUUAACAAGCUCUCCAGGUGAUGCUGAUGCAUGUUCAGUUUGAAAACAAUGGACCCAGAGAGCCUCUAAAGUGCAACCUGCCCUGACAAUUUUAGUCCAAAAUCUUGCAUGGGUAAUUUAAUCUCUACAUCCUGUGGAUUCAGUAAAGUCCCUUUCUGGCAACCAGAAAGCUCAGUCUCUCUGGAGGCUCUGAUGUGGUCUCAUUUUGAGCCUAAGAUCAAUCGUGAGACCUUACUCUCCAUCAAGACUGAUUGGGAGACUCAUGUAUGCUGUUCUCAAGCCAAAAGUCAGGGUAGAACUGCUUUCCAUUAUUGAUUACAAAAGAAUCAGCCUUCCAGAAGAUAAAUCUACUCCCUUCAUGGAACCUCCUCAUUGCAGCAGCUGCUUGGGCACUAUUUUCUCCUGUAGGCAGGUAAAAAUAUGUGCAGGCUUUUCUGGCUUGGAUCGUACAGUCUCUUUAAAGCUUAUAGACUCUGAUUAUUAUUAUUAUUAUUAUUAUUAUUAUUUUGAGACGGAGUCUUUCUCUGUCGCCCAGGCUGGAGUGAAGUGGUGCAAUCUCGGCUUACUGCAAGCUCCGCCUCCCGGGUUCACGCCAUUCCCCUGCCUCAGCCUCCUGAGUAGCUGGGACUACAGGUGCCCGCCACCACGCCCGGCUAAUUUUUUUUGUAUUUUUAGUAGAGACGGGGUUUCACCAUGUUAGCCAGGAUGAUCUCUGUCUCCUGACCUCCUGAUCCGUCUGCCUCGGCCUCCCAAAGUGUUGGGACCACAGGCGUGACAGACUCUGAUUAUUAAAAGAAAAUUGGGAGAUCAUCUAGUCGAAUCCUAUUUUACCAAUUAAGACACAGUGGGGAUGGGAGUUAGUUAAUAAUUUUUCCAUAGUAACAGACAUAGUAACACAGUACGUUUGUAGGGAAGCUGAACUCAGACCUUCAGGCUUAUUUCACUGAGCCACGCUACUUCAGGUGUUCUCAGCAAAGCAUGGGAAGUAACAAGUGUUCGAAACCCUAAGACACUGCAACCUUAGUGUAGCUUUGGGUGCCAUCCAUCCACAUUCAGAGAAUUCAGGGUCUACAGAAACAGUGUGGAUUUGGAUUCCUGUUGGCACAAGGAGGCAACUAAGAGGAACAGGGGAGAACAUGGUUUUUCCAGGAAGAGUUAAUGCUACAUAAAUAGCAGAUCUUGCUGUAAAGGUCCUGUCACAUGCCAGGUGCUUUUUUCCUUCAAAAUAACCCUGUAAGGUGGGCAUAAUUAUCCCAUUUUUACCAAUGAGGAAAUGAUGCACAAAGAGGCUGUGUGCACUGAUCGAGCCCAGUGAACAAAGACAGGAUUAAAACAUCGGGCUCUGAUUCUCAUGCUCUUCCUGGGACACCAUACUGCUUCCUGAUGAGUUGGUUUUAAACCCACGAUUGAUCUAUUUCAGUCUCUAAAUCAGUGACUCUUAACCUUGACUGCAGGUUAAAAUUGUGCAGAUCUUUAAAAAAAAACACUAAUAGCUACUGCCCUCCCUUCCAUCCCUAUUAAAAAAGAAAGAAGCUCUGGGAGUGAAACCAGGAUAUUGGUAUUUUUUUUAAAAGCUCCCCCAGGUAAAGUGAAUGUGCAAACAGAAAUGCAAGCCACUUUUACAUGAUCAAUUUGCCUCAAAGUAAUUUAGCUAACCAGGGAUAGAUACUGUUUUUGAAGAUAGUGGUGGUAAUUUAAUUAAGUUACUCAAACUAUGAUUGAAUUAUAUUUAGACACUAGGUAAGAGGGGAAAUGGGGAGGACAAGGAAGAGUUGACUUUUGUUAACUGGUUUGUUGGGGAACAUGCAUGCGAGAUUUGCUGAUUAUCUGCAAUGCAGCUCAUCUGAGGACCAAGCCCCCUGCCUCCACCCGACCCCCAGGAUUCCCUGGAGCACAGUGUUAUUUUGGUGUUUGAGAACUUAUGCAUGUUUAAAAGUAAUUAAAGAAAAUUAAAAGUUAAUUGUUCUGAACAUUAUUUUACUGAGAGAAGAAUUCUCUUUAAAAACCUAACAAGUUUUCUAUUUAAAGGAUUUUGAAUCGUGUUCCUAGGCUAAAGACAGAAGAAAGGACCUCAUGGUAAAAUUUUGGGUCUUGUCCAAAGGGCUUUUGAAGUAAUAGCAUAUUCAUUAAUGUCACAAAUAGAUCUUUAACAGAGGUCUUUCUUUAAGGAAAUCGGUACCUCCCCCACUUUAAUUAAAGCUUCCUGGUAUGAGACAUGCUUUUAGGAAUUCUAGUCUUUUUGGCUUGAUUCUCUCACUCUCUCUCUUUUUUUUUUUUUUUUUUUGGUUGC